CCUACGGGAGGCAGCAGUGAGGAAUAUUGGUCAAUGGGCGAGAGCCUGAACCAGCCAAGUCGCGUGAGGGAGUACUGCCCUAUGGGUUGUAAACCUCUUUUGUCGGGGAGCAAAAGCCGGACGUGUCCGGCUGUUAGAUUACCCGAAGAAAAAGCAUCGGCUAACUCCGUGCCAGCAGCCGCGGUAAUACGGAGGAUGCGAGCGUUAUCCGGAUUUAUUGGGUUUAAAGGGUGCGCAGGCGGAUUUUUAAGUCAGCGGUCAAAUCGUGGGGCUCAACCCCAUCCAGCCGUUGAAACUGGGGAUCUAGAGUGUGCGAGAGGUAGGCGGAAUGCGUGGUGUAGCGGUGAAAUGCAUAGAUAUCACGCAGAACCCCGAUUGCGAAGGCAGCAUACCGGUGCACAACUGACGCUCAGGCACGAAAGCGUGGGUAUCGAACAGGAUUAGAUACCCCGGUAGUC
Molecule: ribosomal RNA, 458 nt
Filed under: uncultured bacterium
Lineage: Bacteria
Description: partial 16S ribosomal RNA
Rfam family: Bacterial small subunit ribosomal RNA
Source: RNAcentral